UUUGAAAUCUGGCUGUCUUCGAUAGUCCGAGUUGUAAUCUAUAGAAGCGUUUUCCGUGCUGAACUGUGUCUAAGUCCUCUGGAACGAGGUAUCAAAGAGGGUGACAAUCCCGUACUUGACACAAUCAUCAGUGCUCUGUGAUACGUUCUCUACGAGUCGAGUUGUUUGGGAAUGCAGCUCAAAAUGGGUGGUAAAUUCCAUCUAAAGCUAAAUAUUGGCGAGAGACCGAUAGCGAACAAGUACCGUGAGGGAAAGAUGAAAAGCACUUUGGAAAGAGAGUUAAACAGUACGUGAAAUUGUUAAAAGGGAAACGAUUGAAGUCAGUCGUGUUUAUUGGAUUCAGCCGGUCUUCGGUGUACUUCCUUUAAACGGGUCAACAUCAGUUUUGUUCGGUGGAUAAAGGCAGUAGGAAUGUGGCUCCCUCGGGAGUGUUAUAGCCUAUUGUCACAUACACUGGAGGAGACUGAGGACUGCAGCUCGCCUUUUUGGCCGGGGUUCGCCCACGUUCGAGCUUAGGAUGUUGACAUAAUAGG
RNAcentral lists this ribosomal RNA (533 nucleotides) under Apiotrichum laibachii. RNAcentral's name for it is "eukaryotic LSU rRNA". It matches the Rfam family "Eukaryotic large subunit ribosomal RNA", at positions 114 to 638 of the family's 3401-position model. Lineage: Eukaryota; Fungi; Basidiomycota; Tremellomycetes; Trichosporonales; Trichosporonaceae. The record is from RNAcentral.